UAUGAAGCAAUGCCUGGGGGAAGACCCCGUGCUCCAACAGAAUGGAUUAUUCACAUUUAUCUUGCAAUCUUGCUCUCUCCGAGUUCUUAAAAUUCACUCGCUUGGCAAGUUGAGAAUUAUCUUGAGGAAUGAAAUAAUUUCAUAACUAUGAGAUCACGCCGCAUUCCUGGAAACUGACACUUGCAGGGAUUGUCCGGGCUUGGGCACUGUUUUGACUUACAGAUGUACGAGAGACUCACAAGUUUUGGUAAGUGCUCCAGAACUCUGGAAGAUUGGGACUUCAUGACACAAUUCCCAGUAGAACACGUCAGUCCUGCCCCACCCCAUCCACCCCCACUGACCGAAGCCGCAAACCACAGCAAUGAUACGAUUUCAAAUGCACCUUCCGGGGAAAAUAGGCACCACAAAGUUUCCACCAUGCUGUACAAGGAAUACACAAAGCAAUAGUGUAACUUGACCUAUUACCGAGAAGUGGUGAUAGCUCUGUUCCUAUAGCCAGUGCAUUCCCUGUUAAACAGUAGUCAUAGGAUACUCUAGAUAUGUGUUGAGUCCCCGACUGCUUCUGUCAGUAGCAGCCAUGCACAAAACAGCGGACAAACACUACAGCCGGGAUACAAAGACCCUGCAAGACGUUCUUUUACUGUGACCCCUAUACACAGAGUGUCUCACAACAGACAAACACUUCUUGUAAUAUUGCAAGUGUCUAAGGUCUAAUAAAAAUGUGAUGUUUUAA
Pseudophryne corroboree (corroboree frog) is the source of this 733-nucleotide long non-coding RNA. RefSeq lists it as uncharacterized. The record is from RefSeq and is a predicted model, not a curated record. The transcript is spliced from 4 exons. Lineage: Eukaryota; Metazoa; Chordata; Amphibia; Anura; Myobatrachidae.